GUCUAUUAUGAAGUUGUUAAUAGUCUGGCCUGCUCCCUGAUUAUAAAUUAAAGAGCCGCGGUAAUUUGACCGUGCAAAGGUAGCAUAAUCAUUAGUUUCUUAAUUGGGAACUUGUAUGAAAGGUUUGACAAAGAAAAAGCUGUCUUUAUUAUAAAAAUUGAAUUUAACUUUUAAGUGAAAAGGCUUGAAUGAUUUAGAGGGACGAUAAGACCCUAUAAAGCUUUAUAUAAAAAAUAAUUAAGAUUGAAUUUACAAUAAUAUUCUGAAUUAAUUAUAUAUUUUGUUGGGGUGAUAUUAAUAAAAUUAAUAUUAACUGUUAAAAGAAGAUACAUAAAUAAAAGGAUUAAAACUGUUAGUGAUCCUUAUUUAAAGAUUAAAAGAUUAAGUUACUUUAGGGAUAACAGCGUAAUUUUUCUUAAGAGCCCAUAUCGAAAGAAAAGAUUUCGACCUCGAUGUUGAAUUAAGAUAUCUGUGUAGAGUAGCCGUUACAUAAGAAGGUC
Molecule: ribosomal RNA, 500 nt
Filed under: Trapezia serenei
Lineage: Eukaryota; Metazoa; Arthropoda; Malacostraca; Decapoda; Trapeziidae
Description: partial 16S ribosomal RNA
Rfam family: Bacterial large subunit ribosomal RNA
Source: RNAcentral